GUUUAGACGUGUGCAUUUUGAGGGACUGGUAGAACAAUGGCGUGUUGUGGCAGACUUGAUGGUACUUUGCAGCACAAAACGCUUGUUGGUGAUGCCAGAAAUCAACCGUAGACAUCUCUAAGUGGUAUGUGUACCAGCCGACCCAUGGCUCAGCGCUUCUGAGUUUCCAUUGAUUGGUUUCCCAUUCGCGUCCGCUGCAGCGCAAGCGCCUGCUGCAGCGGCGUCUGCUGCAGCGCGAGCGCGUGCUGCAGCGGCGUCUUCCGCCACUGCCGCACCCUCCGGGGAGUCCUCGGGCGCCUCGCUCUCCGUCCAGCCAUCCGACAGGUUCACCGAGAGGGACGUGCAGAUGAUCAUCAACGCCGGCUUCCUCCGGUCUCAGGCGUUCGAAGAGCUGAGGAGGUGCGGCGGUGACAGCACGAAGGCGGUGGCGGCGCUGUUCGCGCGCUCAUUCAAGCUGCCCAAGAUGUGAUCUCCGGCGUCGACGCGACCGCGCCGGCCCGCUCGUGCUGUAGACCAGCCCCGCGCCACCGACGACACGCAGGCGGCGUGCUCGAACUCAUUUCUGGUUCAUGUGUGCAAUCUCCAAUCCGAGAGACUCGCUUCAUGGAUGCUUCGUGUCCUGACUUUGGCAGCGGUGGGCGCUGUUCUUGCGGGUCAACAUGUGAACAGUACCUGUAGUGUGUGUGGGUGUGGGUGACCUCACAUACACACGGGUGCAGCUGUACAGUUCUGAGGCACUGUCCUUGUGACCUCACACAAACAGCGUGAACCACCUGCUGAUAUGUGGGGGCUCGUCGCAGGGUUCGAACACCAUCAGACACUAUAUGACUUCACCACAUUGUCAACCACUGGUGUGUCCUUGGUGGCACUUCCGGCUUAUGUUGUGACUGAGCAUGCAGUCUCAUGAGGAGGGCUGAUGUAAAAUUGCCAUGUCUCAUUUUAGCAGUUGGUUUUAUUGGCAAGGACUAACAUUUAUGGUAUAUAUUUGCGAGUUUUGCUGUGAACUGUGUAGUUCUCUGCAGAUGAAAUGUGCAAAUUGUAACACAGUACUUUUGCAUUUUAUGAUACAGUACUGCAAUACACCACCAGACAAACUU
Long non-coding RNA from Pollicipes pollicipes, 1097 nucleotides. RefSeq lists it as uncharacterized. The transcript is spliced from 2 exons. NCBI's taxonomy places the organism in Eukaryota, Metazoa, Arthropoda, Thecostraca, Pollicipedomorpha, Pollicipedidae. The record is from RefSeq and is a predicted model, not a curated record.